This 253-nucleotide ribosomal RNA is filed under the name uncultured bacterium. RNAcentral describes it as "partial 16S ribosomal RNA". It matches the Rfam family "Bacterial small subunit ribosomal RNA", at positions 524 to 776 of the family's 1533-position model. The record is from RNAcentral.
UACGAAGGGAGCUAGCGUUGUUCGGAAUCACUGGGCGUAAAGCGUGCGCAGGCGGUUUUGUAAGCCAGAUGUGAAAGCCCCGGGCUCAACCUGGGAACUGCAUUUGGGACUGCAAAGCUGGAGUACGGCAGAGGGAGGUGGAAUUCCACGUGUAGCAGUGAAAUGCGUAGAGAUGUGGAGGAACACCGAUGGCGAAGGCAGCCUCCUGGGCUAGUACUGACGCUCAUGCACGAAAGCGUGGGGAGCAAACAGG